Molecule: unclassified non-coding RNA, 224 nt
Filed under: Hevea brasiliensis (rubber tree)
Lineage: Eukaryota; Viridiplantae; Streptophyta; Magnoliopsida; Malpighiales; Euphorbiaceae
Source: RNAcentral
AUGGUUGUUCUCCCCCUCAUUCCAUCUUUACUUCGGAGAUGCACUGUACUUGGUCUCUCUCCUUUUAAAGAAAAAUGCACAAUGGACGCAGAAUGAGUGGCCAUACACAUUAUAAGUUGCUCAUUAAAAAGAUGAAAUCAAGAUAAUCUUUGCCUCCUCAACCAACUGAAGUUUUUGAACUUUAAUACUUCUUCAGCGAGUAGGAGCAACAUGCCUAAUUUUCA